UUCUCUCGCUACCCCCAGCACUAAAAAAAAACUUUUUUUUUUUUUAAUUUAACAAGAAGAAAGAAAGACUUCGCUAAUCGCUUCAUCCAGCACUGGUCCGUACAUCCAUGGCGACACCUGUUCCUCGUCUUCCGACAAGCGGACUCUCCAAGUCGAAGAAGUCAGUAUUCCCGCCGAAGCGAGGGAGGAUCAAGCAAGAGAUCUUCGGCGGCUUGGCCAGGUCCAUCGCUUCCGCCGCCGCGAGAGCCGGCGGAACCUUCGGAAUAGCUUCCGGAGACGACGACGUCGGUGGCGGCGGCUUAUCGGCUUCCUCUGCAUCCACUACUCCGCCGACGAGCGGAUACGCCUCCGAGGAGAACAAGCAAGCCUCUUAAUUAAAAGCUCGAAAGCAGAGAAGAUGACAAUUGCAAAACUGCCAUUGUUUCGUCCGCCAUGGAUUUGGUUUGGGAUCUGGAAGCAAGCUUCAGUGUUCUGUCGUUUUUGAAACAGAACAGAGCUUCUUCAUCGGGUUCGGUUCAGUCCGGUUAGGCUAGGGCCGGUUUAAUUUGGUUUGACUGUGUUGUGGUUUGGUACGACCGGUUAGCGGGAAUAGUUAAGUUAUGUGGUUAAUUAUAAUCACUAAUUAGUGAUUAAUGGUGUCAUUAGUGCAUGUCAAAUUGUCAAUGUUUUUGGGAACAAAACCUCUCUCUAAUUGUUGUUUCUACGAUGUUUUAGGAAGGGAAAUAAUGAUAUGCUUGUCUGAUGGAGAGAGGUUCUUGUUCUGUUUGGUUUGGGUCUUCCCAUGUUUUAUUUCUUUUAAAUCCGAUGUAUAAAUAUACGAGUUUUUUUAUUA
Tarenaya hassleriana is the source of this 832-nucleotide long non-coding RNA. RefSeq lists it as uncharacterized. The record is from RefSeq and is a predicted model, not a curated record. The transcript has 2 exons. Lineage: Eukaryota; Viridiplantae; Streptophyta; Magnoliopsida; Brassicales; Cleomaceae.